Oncorhynchus tshawytscha (Chinook salmon) is the source of this 854-nucleotide long non-coding RNA. Lineage: Eukaryota; Metazoa; Chordata; Actinopteri; Salmoniformes; Salmonidae. The record is from Ensembl.
AGAGAGAGAGAGAGGGGGCAGCAGAGAGAGGGAGAGGGGGCAGCAGAGAGAGAGAGAGAGAGGGCAGCAUAAAGAGAGAGGGGGCAGCAGAGACAGAGAGAGGGCAGCAGAGAGAGAGAGAGAGGGCAGCAGAGAGAGAGAGGUCAGCAGAGAGAGAGAGGUCAGCAGAGAGAGAGAGGUCAGCAGAGAGAGAGAGAGAGAGGGCAGCAGAGAGAGAGAGAGGGAGGGCAGCAGAGAGUGAGAGAGGGAGGGCAGCAGAGAGACAGAGAGGGAGGGCAGCAGAGAGAGAGAGGAGGGCAGCAGAGAGAGAAUGGGGCAGCAGAGAGAGAGGGGGCAGUAGAGGGAGAAGUGGGGGUUGCAGUAGAGAAAGGGAGAGGGCAUUAUAGAGAGGGAGAGAGGGGGCAGCAGAGAGAGAGGGGGCAGUAGAGAUAGGGAGAGGGCAGCAUAGAGAGGGAGAGAGAGGGGCAGCAUAGAGAGAGGGGGCAGCAUAGAGAGGGAGAGAGGGCAGCAGAGAGAGAGAGGACAGCAGAGAGAGAGAAGGGCAGCAGAGAGAGAGAGGGGGUAGCAGAGAGAGAGAGGGGGCAGUAGAGAGAGAGAGGGGGCAGCAGAGAGAGAGAGGGGGCAGUAGAGAAUGGGAGAGAGCAGUAUAGAGAGGGAGAGAGAGCAGCAUAGAGAGGGAGAGGGCAGCAGAGAGAGGGAGAGAGAGGGCAGCAGAGAAAGAGGGGGAGCAGAGAGAGAGGGGGCCGCAUAGAGAGAGGGGGCAGCAGAGAGAGAGAGAGAGGGGGGGCAGCAUAGAGGGAGAGAGGGGCAGUAGAGAAAGGAGAGAGAGAGGGGGCAGUAGAAGGAGAGAGGGG